Molecule: small nuclear RNA, 57 nt
Filed under: Gopherus agassizii (Agassiz's desert tortoise)
Lineage: Eukaryota; Metazoa; Chordata; Testudines; Testudinidae
Description: U5 spliceosomal RNA (ENSGAGG00000019781.1)
Rfam family: U5 spliceosomal RNA
About the family: U5 RNA is a component of both types of known spliceosome. The precise function of this molecule is unknown, though it is known that the 5' loop is required for splice site selection and p220 binding, and that both the 3' stem-loop and the Sm site are important for Sm protein binding and cap methylation.
Source: RNAcentral
UUUCUCUUCAGUUCGUAUAAAUCUUUUGCCUUUUACUAAGAUUUCCGUGGAAAGGAA